This 4476-nucleotide long non-coding RNA is filed under the name Sus scrofa (pig). RNAcentral's name for it is "lncRNA (ENSSSCG00000055884.1, ENSSSCG00180026139.1)". The record is from RNAcentral. Lineage: Eukaryota; Metazoa; Chordata; Mammalia; Artiodactyla; Suidae.
GUUGUUGUUGUUGUUGUUAUUGUUGCUAUUUCUUGGGCCGCUCCCUCGGCAUAUGGAGGUUCCCAGGCUAGGGGUUGAGUCAGAGCUGUAGCCACCGGCCUACGCCAGAGCCACAGCAACGCGGAAUCCGAGCCGCGUCUGCAACCUACACCACAGCUCACGGCAACGCCAGAUCGUUAACCCACUGAGCAAGGGCAGGGAUCGAACCCGCAACCUUAUGGUUCCUAGUCGGAUUCGUUAACCACUGCGCCACGACGGGAACUCCUAAUUUUAUAAAUCUUAAUGCCUUUGCUGCUACAACACUGGACCCAGUUGUUAGAGGCAAAGAGGAAAAUCAUCUGUUGAGAAAGAACAAGUGGGUUUUUUUUUUUUUAAAGAGUAAAUAAAAUCUGAUAAGCUUGGAAUAAGGUUGGAAAAACACUGAAUUAUGUAACAGCAACACUCCAUGAACUCUUUCUUGGAUGAGUGGGUUUAUGGAACCACAAGCCAAUAGGCCAAGAGAGCAGGAUGUAGCAGUUUCUUUUACAGGGAGUGAGGAGAAAAAUAUGAGACUCGAACCUCAGGAGAGAUUUUGUAGGUCUAACUUGGUGGAAUAUUGGCAACUUGAUAAGGAUUAGUUCUUAUCCUUAUAACUAUCUGAAUAGUUCUGCUUUCUGUAUGUGGAUAUCAAGCUUCAGUUCUACCCAAAUGUGAGGCAAAAUGUCAUCAUCUUUAGUAAUAUUACCUCCCUAGUAACAGCAAUACUGUGAGAAGUGUUGCGCUGAACUCCGGGAAGAGGAAUUCCAACCACAGUGGAACUUUUAAAGAAACUGGAAUUAUUACAAGAUACUGAAUAUAGUUCCCUGUGCUAUAUAAUAGGUCCUUGUUGUUUAUCUGUUUUAUAUGCAGCAGUGUAUAUAUGUGUUACAAAGCACAUGGGCACUUGAUUGAGAGGCAGUUAACAAUAUUGUGCUUCCCGCCCUGCAGUUCCUUCCCUGACACUUUCCCCAGCCCUUACCAAGGAGCAUUUCUUAGGACCCAGUCUUAGGCCCUCUGCUUUCAUUCCUCCCGGCCCACUUCCAAGAGCUCUUUCCAUUUACAUAACUUCAUCUGACUCCCUACUCCCUAGAGAGCCCUCUCAUCUUGCCUUCUCUUCAGCCCCGUGGGGACAGGUACUUGAUUCCUGCUUAACUUCACCUGUGUGCUACUCCAUUUACUACCCUGUAAAUGUUCCAUUAAGAUCUUUGAAUGUCUAGUCCUUUGUAAAGGUUCUUAGUCAUCUUCAGUUGUGUGCAUGUGUCACCUAACAAGACUGCGAACUCUCUGGAGGUGGGGACAAAAUUCUUAAGAAAAUCUCAUCUAAGAACAGGGUUCAAGGAAGAAGAGAUUGUGUGUAUGUGGAAGUGCACUUGUUAUUACUGACUGGAGAAUGGUGCCUUGUCUGCUCAAGACUCAGAUGUUUGGAAACCUCAAAUUUCUAGGGGCAUGACUAACGGGCAGAAUAUAAGCUGAAAAAACAUAUUAAAGAGACUCUAAGAAACCCAAAUAAUUGUCACACUAUCAAAAAACAAAUACUCAUGAUAUUUCACCUGCAGUUUCUAGUUCCAACUCAUUUCUGCUUACUCUGCUUGGAAAUCAAACAGGUUUGAGUGCUUGUUUCUGCAGUAGAUUAGAAGCAGUAAAAGGGUUAAAUUAAGUAGAUACAAAACAGGAGGGUUAAUAUGGCUAAAUGCAAAGACCCAGCAUCUAAGGCAAAAGCAGCAAAAAAAUCAGACUCUGAUGUGAGAUUUCAAAAGAGGAAUUUGGGGUGAGUUUAGCAAGUUUGUGUGUUUGUGUGUAUGUUGAGACAAACAGUCAUAUUUUUGACAGAAUCUAUGGUAAUAGCUAUAACAAAAUUCAGAAUGAGAGUUUAUCUUCAUACUAAUGAACAUAUUUUCAACAGAAGUUAAAGGUAAACAGCUUUUAGGGUAAGUAGCAAAAUAUAGAUUUUACUCAGGAAAAAAAUUGUAUCCAAGGAUUAUUUAUUUGCUGAUUUAUUUCAGAAGGCUUACUGCUGAAAGCAAUCAUGUUCAAUCAUUCAGAAAGUCAGCUCUUUAGAAUGACUUUCCCCUAAGGACUCUUGAUAAUGAAAAUUCUGCUGUUUAAUGAUUAACUUAGUGUAUGCUUAAUAAAUGCUAUUGAUUAUUACCUAAAUGAUGAAUGUAAAAGAAACUUCUAUGCUAUCUAGCCAGUCUAAUCUUUGGGGAAGAACAUGAAAUUUGAGAAAUUUUAUUUUUAAUUGUGAUGGGGCCAUCGGUUGCAUAGUUAAAGGGGAAUCUAGUGAUAGACUUUAACCCGGGUUUAUAAAUUGUCCCAAUUUUUCUUCCUAUUUGUCUUCAAAAUGGCAAACUGGCAGGUAGGGUACCUCUGAAGAGGGAAUGAGAAACUUAUUUUAAAUGUCUAAACCAAAAGGCAGUGAUCAACUUGGUAGUAUUAUCAAAUAACACCCAAGCAGACCGUGAUAAAGUCCCUGGAAGAUGAUCGAUGAUCAGAAGCAGGAUGUCUGCCAGGGCGUGUUUCUGGGCAGCAGAGGAGCUGUUGCAGCUCCGUCCGGCAGUUUCUCUUCAUGUGUGGCCACCGCAGUGGAGUGGAGGCAGAGAGUGAGCAGGACUCUCACACUUGCACAGAGUAGGCAGUGGAGCCCCAAACAUCGUGGGCAUACAGACUGAGGACACCCGGAGCCCAUGAAGGCUGCUCUUAAAACCUGGUCUUUGCCUGAGCUAAGAAUGACCAUUUGUAAUCAAGUCCCUGAUAUAAAGUAGCAACUGUUCCCAGGCAAUUUUACACACAGUAAGACCAGUAGGCAGCAGGGACGAGUCAGUGGUAUCUGAGAAGCAUAUGAAAAGUGAACAAAGACACUUCUCUCUCUUUUUUUUUUUUUUUUUUUUUUGGUCUUUUUGCUAUUUCUUGGGCCGCUCCCACGGCAUAUGGAGGUUCCCAGGCUAGGGGUCAAAUUGGAGCUGUAGCCACCGGCCUACGCCAGAGCCACAGCAACGCGGAAUCCGAGCCGCGUCUGCAACCUACACCACAGCUCACGGCAACGCCAGAUCGUUAACCCACUGAGCAAGGGCAGGGAUCGAACCCGCAACCUCAUGGUUCCUAGUCGGAUUCGUUAACCACUGCGCCACGACGGGAACUCCAAGACACUUUUCUCAAGCAUCCCUGGUGUUAUGGGUUAAAUCGCGUUCCACCCAAAAGAAAACCAAAAACCAAACCAAACAAACAACAGCAACAACCAAAACUUCAUAUGUUGAAGUCCUGACCUCCGUACUUUAGAAUGUAACCUUGUUCGGAAAUAGAGUCGUUGCAGGUAUAAUUAUGAAGUUAAGAUGAGGUCGUACUAAAGUAGGGUGAGUCCCUAAUUCAAGGGCAGGUGGGUCCCUAAUUCAAGGGCAGGGUCCCUAAUUCUUAUGCAGAGGGGAAGUUUGGACCCAGAGACAGAUGCCCACAGAGAGAGGACCAGGUGACAAGUAAAGUGGAAAUCGGGACGAGGCAUCUAUAAGCCAAGAAACUUCAAAUAUGGCCAGCGGGUCACCAGAAGCCAGGAGAGCGACAUGGGACAGACUUUCCCCCACAACCUUCAGAGGGAAUCACCCUGUUGACAGCUUAAUCAGGGACUUCCAGAACUGUGAGGCAACACAUCUCUGUUGUUCAUGCCAUCCAGCUUGUGGCACUUCAUUCCAGCAGCCCUAGCAAACUAACAGAUCCAUGGAUUCAGUCCUUAGGAAGAAUUAGGAACAAACUGCAAGAACACCACUGCAUAGAAUGUGUAAUGGUUGUUGGAGUUCCUUCUGUGAUGCAAUAGGAUUGACAGUGUCUCUGUAGCACCACGAUGUGGGUUUGAUCCCUGGCCCUGCACAGUGGGUUAAGGGUCAGGCCUUGUGGCAGCUGCACCCUAAAUGACAACUGCGGCUCAAAUCUGAUCCCUGGCCUGGAAACCCUAUCUGCCACAGGAUGGCCAAAAAAAAAAAAAAAGAAUCUGUAAUGGUCAUAUUCCUAUAAUAGAUGGAUGGAUAGAUACAUGGAGAGAAAGAAAAAGAAAUAGAUGGGUUUUCAUUCAUUCUCAUUGUUUUGUUUCUACUCAUAUGUGCUGAUCCACCUACCUGAUCUCCUUCCAUAAUUCAGUUAACUAUGUAGAAAACUGUUCAUCAGUCUGUUCCAUACAGUGGGGUCAGUCAUUCUCAGUGUCUUCUUGCUGUUGCUCUAGUAUGUUCUAGAUAUUGUAAGGCUAUUGCACUCAAGAUUCUGUUGACCUGGGGCUGACCAAUUAAAUGGAGCCUCUCAUGGAGAGGUGCCUCAGUUAUACUCCUGCUGAAGGUGACACAAGUUUGAAAUAGGAAAUUAAACAACUGUCUCUUGCUUUUUUUUUUUUUUAAGGGCCACACCCACGGCAUAUGGAGGUUCCCAGGCUAGGGGUCUAAUUAGAACUACAACUGCCAGCCUACACCACAGCCACAG